Molecule: ribosomal RNA, 189 nt
Filed under: uncultured Methylophilaceae bacterium
Lineage: Bacteria; Pseudomonadati; Pseudomonadota; Betaproteobacteria; Nitrosomonadales; Methylophilaceae
Description: partial 16S ribosomal RNA
Rfam family: Bacterial small subunit ribosomal RNA
Source: RNAcentral
UCGGGAGGCAGCAGUGGGGAAUUUUGGACAAUGGGCGCAAGCCUGAUCCAGCCAUUCCGCGUGAGUGAAGAAGGCCUUCGGGUUGUAAAGCUCUUUCGCAAGGGAAGAAAACUUAGCCACUAACAUUGGCUGAGGUUGACGGUACCUUGAUAAGAAGCACCGGCUAACUACGUGCCAGCAGCCGCGGUA